CACUGCGCUAAAAAUUAGGGCAACUAAUGUUAGUUCCAAAAAUUGAGUCAAUUCAUUAUGACUUAGGUCCAAAAAUAUUCUGAUAAUUAGGCUUUUAUACAUUACUACAAUAGUUUUGAAAUAAAUACGUGAUAUAUAGACACACACAAAAAUAUUACUCACUGACUGAAGGCCUCCAUGGUGCUUUCUAUCCGCUCACCACAUCCUGAAUUUGAGGGUUCUUCAGCAGGUAUAGCGAGGUGAGGGUGUACCCACCCAACGCCGGGAGAACGACACACCAAAAACAGCUCAUCUCCUUUUAAAAAUCUCCGCAAGCUCUCUCGUCGGAUUGAACUAACAAAGUGCUAAGUUGCUG
Syngnathus acus (greater pipefish) is the source of this 355-nucleotide long non-coding RNA. RefSeq lists it as uncharacterized. The transcript has 2 exons. The record is from RefSeq and is a predicted model, not a curated record. NCBI's taxonomy places the organism in Eukaryota, Metazoa, Chordata, Actinopteri, Syngnathiformes, Syngnathidae.